Molecule: transfer RNA, 69 nt
Filed under: Streptomyces sp. TS71-3
Lineage: Bacteria; Bacillati; Actinomycetota; Actinomycetes; Kitasatosporales; Streptomycetaceae
Description: tRNA-Ser
Source: RNAcentral
GGCUGCGCCGCGUGGGCGCGCUCGGUGGAGCCGAGCCGCACGCCCCUGAUCGGAUCGGGGCGCAGCCCC